Molecule: ribosomal RNA, 388 nt
Filed under: Stiphrosoma balteatum
Lineage: Eukaryota; Metazoa; Arthropoda; Insecta; Diptera; Anthomyzidae
Description: partial 12S ribosomal RNA
Source: RNAcentral
UCUGGGAUUAGAUACCCUGUUAUUUAAAAUGUAAAUUUUUUAUUUAGGUAGUAAUAGUUAUGUUCUUGAAACUUAAAAAAUUUGGCGGUAUUUUAGUCUAUUCAGAGGAACCUGUUCUGUAAUUGAUAAUCCACGUUGGACCUUACUUAAAUUUGUUUAGCAAUUUAUAUACCGUUGUUAUUAAAAUAUUUUUGAGAAUAAUAAUAUUUAAUAAUUUUUAUAAAAAUUUAUAUCAAAUCAAGGUGUAGUUUAUGUUUAAGUAGAAAUGGGUUACAAUAAAAUUAUUUUAUGGAUAUAAAUAUGAAAAAUUUAUUGAAAUUGGAUUUGAUUGUAAAAUUAUAAAGAUUAAUAAUUUGAUUUUAGCUCUAAAAUAUGUACAAAUCGCCCG